UGGGGAAUCUUGGACAAUGGGCGCAAGCCUGAUCCAGCCAUGCCGCGUGAGUGAAGAAGGCCUUCGGGUUGUAAAGCUCUUUUACCAGGGACGAUAAUGACGGUACCUGGAGAAUAAGCCCCGGCAAACUUCGUGCCAGCAGCCGCGGUAAUACGAAGGGGGCUAGCGUUGUUCGGAAUUACUGGGCGUAAAGCGCACGUAGGCGGAUUGUUAAGUCAGAGGUGAAAUCCCGGAGCUCAACUUCGGAACUGCCUUUGAUACUGGCAAUCUAGAGUCCGGAAGAGGUGAGUGGAAUUCCUAGUGUAGAGGUGAAAUUCGUAGAUAUUAGGAAGAACACCAGUGGCGAAGGCGGCUCACUGGUCCGGUACUGACGCUGAGGUGCGAAAGCGUGGGGAGCAAACAGGAUUAGAUACCCUUGUAGUCCCUGAGCGGGCUGGCAAGGCGCAU
This 447-nucleotide ribosomal RNA is filed under the name uncultured bacterium. Its description in RNAcentral is "bacterial SSU rRNA". It matches the Rfam family "Bacterial small subunit ribosomal RNA", at positions 355 to 825 of the family's 1533-position model. The record is from RNAcentral.